This 1556-nucleotide ribosomal RNA is filed under the name Escherichia coli. RNAcentral's name for it is "bacterial SSU rRNA". It matches the Rfam family "Bacterial small subunit ribosomal RNA". The record is from RNAcentral. Lineage: Bacteria; Pseudomonadati; Pseudomonadota; Gammaproteobacteria; Enterobacterales; Enterobacteriaceae.
UUAAAUUGAAGAGUUUGAUCAUGGCUCAGAUUGAACGCUGGCGGCAGGCCUAACACAUGCAAGUCGAACGGUAACAGAAAGCAGCUUGCUGCUUUGCUGACGAGUGGCGGACGGGUGAGUAAUGUCUGGGAAACUGCCUGAUGGAGGGGGAUAACUACUGGAAACGGUAGCUAAUACCGCAUAAUGUCGCAAGACCAAAGAGGGGGACCUUCGGGCCUCUUGCCAUCGGAUGUGCCCAGAUGGGAUUAGCUAGUAGGUGGGGUAACGGCUCACCUAGGCGACGAUCCCUAGCUGGUCUGAGAGGAUGACCAGCCACACUGGAACUGAGACACGGUCCAGACUCCUACGGGAGGCAGCAGUGGGGAAUAUUGCACAAUGGGCGCAAGCCUGAUGCAGCCAUGCCGCGUGUAUGAAGAAGGCCUUCGGGUUGUAAAGUACUUUCAGCGGGGAGGAAGGGAGUAAAGUUAAUACCUUUGCUCAUUGACGUUACCCGCAGAAGAAGCACCGGCUAACUCCGUGCCAGCAGCCGCGGUAAUACGGAGGGUGCAAGCGUUAAUCGGAAUUACUGGGCGUAAAGCGCACGCAGGCGGUUUGUUAAGUCAGAUGUGAAAUCCCCGGGCUCAACCUGGGAACUGCAUCUGAUACUGGCAAGCUUGAGUCUCGUAGAGGGGGGUAGAAUUCCAGGUGUAGCGGUGAAAUGCGUAGAGAUCUGGAGGAAUACCGGUGGCGAAGGCGGCCCCCUGGACGAAGACUGACGCUCAGGUGCGAAAGCGUGGGGAGCAAACAGGAUUAGAUACCCUGGUAGUCCACGCCGUAAACGAUGUCGACUUGGAGGUUGUGCCCUUGAGGCGUGGCUUCCGGAGCUAACGCGUUAAGUCGACCGCCUGGGGAGUACGGCCGCAAGGUUAAAACUCAAAUGAAUUGACGGGGGCCCGCACAAGCGGUGGAGCAUGUGGUUUAAUUCGAUGCAACGCGAAGAACCUUACCUGGUCUUGACAUCCACAGAACUUUCCAGAGAUGGAUUGGUGCCUUCGGGAACUGUGAGACAGGUGCUGCAUGGCUGUCGUCAGCUCGUGUUGUGAAAUGUUGGGUUAAGUCCCGCAACGAGCGCAACCCUUAUCCUUUGUUGCCAGCGGUCCGGCCGGGAACUCAAAGGAGACUGCCAGUGAUAAACUGGAGGAAGGUGGGGAUGACGUCAAGUCAUCAUGGCCCUUACGACCAGGGCUACACACGUGCUACAAUGGCGCAUACAAAGAGAAGCGACCUCGCGAGAGCAAGCGGACCUCAUAAAGUGCGUCGUAGUCCGGAUUGGAGUCUGCAACUCGACUCCAUGAAGUCGGAAUCGCUAGUAAUCGUGGAUCAGAAUGCCACGGUGAAUACGUUCCCGGGCCUUGUACACACCGCCCGUCACACCAUGGGAGUGGGUUGCAAAAGAAGUAGGUAGCUUAACCUUCGGGAGGGCGCUUACCACUUUGUGAUUCAUGACUGGGGUGAAGUCGUAACAAGGUAACCGUAGGGGAACCUGCGGUUGGAUCACCUCCUUACCUUAAAGAAGC